GACGAACGCUGGCGGCGUGCUUAACACAUGCAAGUCGAACGGUAAGGCCCUUCGGGGUACACGAGUGGCGAACGGGUGAGUAACACGUGGGUGAUCUGCCCUUCACUUCGGGAUAAGCCUGGGAAACUGGGUCUAAUACCGGAUAGGACCACUGCCUGCAUGGGUGGGGGGGGAAAGCUUUUGCGGUGUGGGAGGGGCCCGCGGCCUAUCGGCUUGUUGGUGGGGUGAAGGCCUACCAAGGCGACGACGGGUAGCCGGCCUGAGAGGGUGACCGGCCACACUGGGACUGAGAUACGGCCCAGACUCCUACGGGAGGCAGCAGUGGGGAAUAUUGCACAAUGGGCGCAAGCCUGAUGCAGCGACGCCGCGUGAGGGAUGACGGCCUUCGGGUUGUAAACCUCUUUCAGCACCGACGAAGCGCAAGUGACGGUAGGUGCAGAAGAAGGACCGGCCAACUACGUGCCAGCCGCCGCUGUAA
Molecule: ribosomal RNA, 478 nt
Filed under: uncultured bacterium
Lineage: Bacteria
Description: partial 16S ribosomal RNA
Rfam family: Bacterial small subunit ribosomal RNA
Source: RNAcentral